GCUGGGUGUGGUGGCUCACACCUGUAAUCCCAGCACUUUGGGAGGCCGAGGUGGGCGGAUCACCUGAGGUCAGGAGUUCAAGACCAGCCUGACCAACAUGGUGAAACCCCAUCUCUA
This 117-nucleotide signal recognition particle RNA is filed under the name Homo sapiens (human). Its description in RNAcentral is "Metazoan signal recognition particle RNA". It matches the Rfam family "Metazoan signal recognition particle RNA". From Rfam's summary of the family: The signal recognition particle (SRP) is a universally conserved ribonucleoprotein. It is involved in the co-translational targeting of proteins to membranes. The eukaryotic SRP consists of a 300-nucleotide 7S RNA and six proteins: SRPs 72, 68, 54, 19, 14, and 9. Lineage: Eukaryota; Metazoa; Chordata; Mammalia; Primates; Hominidae. The record is from Rfam by way of RNAcentral.